RNAcentral lists this transfer RNA (71 nucleotides) under Patescibacteria group bacterium. RNAcentral describes it as "tRNA-Gly". It matches the Rfam family "tRNA". From Rfam's summary of the family: Transfer RNA (tRNA) molecules are approximately 80 nucleotides in length. Their secondary structure includes four short double-helical elements and three loops (D, anti-codon, and T loops). Further hydrogen bonds mediate the characteristic L-shaped molecular structure. tRNAs have two regions of fundamental functional importance: the anti-codon, which is responsible for specific mRNA codon recognition, and the 3' end, to which the tRNAs corresponding amino acid is attached (by aminoacyl-tRNA synthetases). tRNAs cope with the degeneracy of the genetic code in two manners: having more than one tRNA (with a specific anti-codon) for a particular amino acid; and 'wobble' base-pairing, i.e. permitting non-standard base-pairing at the 3rd anti-codon position. The record is from RNAcentral.
GCGGGUAUAGUUUAGUGGUAGAACGUCAGCCUUCCAAGCUGAAUACGGGAGUUCGAUUCUCCCUACCCGCA